This 1003-nucleotide small RNA is filed under the name Histoplasma capsulatum. RNAcentral's name for it is "hypothetical RNA". The record is from RNAcentral. Lineage: Eukaryota; Fungi; Ascomycota; Eurotiomycetes; Onygenales; Ajellomycetaceae. RNAcentral also lists the same sequence under 1 other name.
GACUGACAUGUUUUUUUUCCCGAUCUUUGUCUCCUCCAUGUCUUUUUCUCUUCCCUUUUAGUUUCAAAACUCCAUUGCAUCCAUCCAUACUCUGUCCAUUCUUUUUUUUCUCCAUUAUGAAUCUUUACCUCGUACCACGCAACUUUCUUCUCGAAGAAGUAUAUUCCAGCAUUGCCGCGUGCGGGAGGGGAAUCGGGCGAUUGGUCGGGAACAGGCUUAAAUGCAGAAAAAUCCGGUUUUGUACUUAGCAACACAGGAAGGAAGGACUGGAAAGUUGUGGAGUGCAAAUAAAAAGUGUGGGUAAGCCAAGUUUCAAAUUUUGCAAAAGGUCCUCUGCUGUGCUGCUCCGGAGCCAGAGGCCCAACUUCGAGUCCUGUCCUUCCUUCAACGACUUGGAAGUUUCUAUCCGGAUCCACAGGGAGGAGGGAUAUCUAUUCCGCCGGCACGUGGAUGCGUUGGCCUCCUAACAUCCGCCACCCCUGGCCUUGCAGCUUUACCUCGUCAAUCGCCGUUAGAUAGGCCCGCUAGCAGCUAUCACAAUGUAAGAGUGUCAGCUGCUCGAUAUUUUGUAUAGUCGGUCUGAUUGGCUUGGGGAACUACUCAAGCUCCUUGUUCGGCCUGGGAGAAGUCCUGUAACAUUUCCAAACUGAUGCCCAAUCCGGGAGAUGGAAGAAGAGCCUCCAAGGAGCCUAUCCUUUUGUCUUCCGCAUCUCUCUCGGUUUAUAGGGAAUUCCUGUGAUAGAAUCGCGGUUUAGAACCCAACAUGGCCCUAAAUAUAUGGCUAGUGUUGAUUGUGAGGACUAGAGAGUCUUCAGGAUAGUAGGGUAUCGGGGGUUCUUAAAACUUUCGACCCUAGUUGGUUGUCAUCUUUGAAGGACAAUUCUUCUGUCUUUCUUCCCGCUUCAUAUAACACGUAACAAAAGAGCUUUUACAACACCCUUGAACAAUGACGAAAAUAAACAAAUAGAGAUCAGAUAAUUUCAAUGACCCAUAAGACGUCUCC